Molecule: non-coding RNA, 170 nt
Filed under: bovine gut metagenome
Description: Lysine riboswitch
Rfam family: Lysine riboswitch aptamer
About the family: Riboswitches are metabolite binding domains within certain messenger RNAs that serve as precision sensors for their corresponding targets. Allosteric rearrangement of mRNA structure is mediated by ligand binding, and this results in modulation of gene expression.
Source: RNAcentral
GAUAGAGGUGCGGUUCUGCGUGUAGUAGAGCUGAGGCGACCGACGCCCUUGACGCUUUGUGAAUAGCUUUGCCGCCGAAAAACGAAUUGUGGUAAUAUUCGUUUUGGUGAUAUGUCACAUUGGCAUAUCACUGUCAUCAUAUGCAAUACACUAUGAUGGGGAGCUAUCGU